UACCUGCACAGCGCAGAUAAAGCGCACACCAGGGGGAGGAAGAGGGGAGAUAAAGGCAGCAUCGGGCGUAAAGGGAGAAGCGCUGGCAGAUAAACAGGAAGUGAGGUGUGCUGUGGGACCGGUGGUUAGCGCUCAGGGGAACGGACGCGGCGCUGGACACACGUACCAGGCUCUCCAGCCGCUUGGCCACGAUGGAGGCGAAGCGGCGCUCCCCCGCCAGCUCUGAGAUGAGGAAGAUGUACUCCGGCGCAGUGACCUGGUUAGAGCGGUGGGUACGGCCUGCAGGCAAUCAGCAGGACAGGGGGACGCUCUUUUCUCUCUUCUGCUUCUCCGACGGAAAGUGCUUCUGCACCAGCGACUGAAAAACACCCCUGAGGAGAGAAGACAAGGAGCCACGUCAUUUCCAGCUCUGCUACAGUACAAGCGUCUCUGGGUAUGUUCCCACUACAUUUCUAACGGAGAGUCCCUGCUCUGACGACGAGCCAGAAUCCCCCCUCAACCCCGUCCCCGUCCCAACCGUCUCCAUGGUGAACUCACUCCGCCGCCGAGACGAAUCUGUCCAGGUGCCCGUCGUUCUCGUCCAGGACCUCCCUGGUGCGCGCCUCCCCCGUGGACUGCAGCCCAAUCACGAUGCACUGGCGAGGAUGACAGCG
Long non-coding RNA from Anguilla anguilla (European eel), 653 nucleotides. RefSeq lists it as uncharacterized. NCBI's taxonomy places the organism in Eukaryota, Metazoa, Chordata, Actinopteri, Anguilliformes, Anguillidae. The transcript has 3 exons. The record is from RefSeq and is a predicted model, not a curated record.